GUACAGUUGAAGAGUCCCAAACUAGGACGAAACGGCUGUCAAGUAC
RNAcentral lists this non-coding RNA (46 nucleotides) under Trichobilharzia regenti. The record is from RNAcentral. Lineage: Eukaryota; Metazoa; Platyhelminthes; Trematoda; Strigeidida; Schistosomatidae.